GGGGCAAGCUUACCUGCAGUCGAACGGAGCUGUAUUGAACCUAGUGAUAUGCAGCUUAGUGGCGGACGGGUGAGUAACGCGUGGGCAACCUGCCGCAUACCGGGGGAUAACACUUAGAAAUAGGUGCUAAUUCCGCAUAAGCGCACAGAGCCGCAUGGCUUGGUGUGAAAAACUCCGGUGGUAUGCGAUGGGCCCGCGUCUGAUUAGCUGGUUGGCGGGGUGGAAGCCCACCAAGGCGACGAUCAGUAGCCGGCCUGAGAGGGCGGACGGCCACAUUGGGACUGAGACACGGCCCAGACUCCUACGGGAGGCAGCAGUGGGGGAUAUUGCACAAUGGGCGAAAGCCUGAUGCAGCAACGCCGCGUGAAGGAAGACGGUUUUCGGAUUGUAAACUUCUAUCAAUAGGGAAGAAAGAGAUGACGGUACCUAAAUAAGAAGCCCCGGCUAACUACGUGCCAGCAGCCGCGGUAAUACGUAGGGGGCAAGCGUUAUCCGGAAUUACUGGGUGUAAAGGGAGAGUAGGCGGCAAGGUAAGCGAUAUGUGAAAGCCUUAAGCUUAACUUAAGGAUGGCAUAACGAACUAUCUAGCUAGAGUACAGGAGAGGAAAGCGGAAUUCCUAGUGUAGCGGUGAAAUGCGUAGAUAUUAGGAAGAACACCAGUGGCGAAGGCGGCUUUCUGGACUGAAACUGACGCUGAGGCUCGAAAGCGUGGGGAGCGAACAGGAUUAGAUACCCUGGUAGUCCACGCUGUAAACGAUGAGUGCUAGGUGUCGGGGAGGAAUUCCCGGUGCCGGAGCAAACGCAAUAAGCACUCCACCUGGGGAGUACGACCGCAAGGUUGAAACUCAAAGGAAUUGACGGGGGCCCGCACAAGCGGUGGAGCAUGUGGUUUAUUUCGAA
RNAcentral lists this ribosomal RNA (900 nucleotides) under uncultured bacterium. RNAcentral describes it as "bacterial SSU rRNA". It matches the Rfam family "Bacterial small subunit ribosomal RNA", at positions 39 to 955 of the family's 1533-position model. The record is from RNAcentral.